This 27-nucleotide non-coding RNA is filed under the name Homo sapiens (human). The record is from RNAcentral. Lineage: Eukaryota; Metazoa; Chordata; Mammalia; Primates; Hominidae.
UGUUCAGCAAAAGCGCCAAGAUGCCAU